UUGCUGUGAGGAUGAUUUUUUAAAAUGAUGACCUGUGAUUCAUCUAUACGCUAUUCUGAGCCAUGG
Small nucleolar RNA from Anguilla rostrata (American eel), 66 nucleotides. RefSeq annotates it as small nucleolar RNA U54. The record is from RefSeq and is a predicted model, not a curated record. NCBI's taxonomy places the organism in Eukaryota, Metazoa, Chordata, Actinopteri, Anguilliformes, Anguillidae. The transcript has a single exon.